RNAcentral lists this ribosomal RNA (580 nucleotides) under Escherichia coli. Its description in RNAcentral is "partial 23S ribosomal RNA". It matches the Rfam family "Bacterial large subunit ribosomal RNA", at positions 1291 to 1856 of the family's 2925-position model. The record is from RNAcentral. Lineage: Bacteria; Pseudomonadati; Pseudomonadota; Gammaproteobacteria; Enterobacterales; Enterobacteriaceae.
CGAAUGCUGACAUAAGUAACGAUAAAGCGGGUGAAAAGCCCGCUCGCCGGAAGACCAAGGGUUCCUGUCCAACGUUAAUCGGGGCAGGGUGAGUCGACCCCUAAGGCGAGGCCGAAAGGCGUAGUCGAUGGGAAACAGGUUAAUAUUCCUGUACUUGGUGUUACUGCGAAGGGGGGACGGAGAAGGCUAUGUUGGCCGGGCGACGGUUGUCCCGGUUUAAGCGUGUAGGCUGGUUUUCCAGGCAAAUCCGGAAAAUCAAGGCUGAGGCGUGAUGACGAGGCACUACGGUGCUGAAGCAACAAAUGCCCUGCUUCCAGGAAAAGCCUCUAAGCAUCAGGUAACAUCAAAUCGUACCCCAAACCGACACAGGUGGUCAGGUAGAGAAUACCAAGGCGCUUGAGAGAACUCGGGUGAAGGAACUAGGCAAAAUGGUGCCGUAACUUCGGGAGAAGGCACGCUGAUAUGUAGGUGAAGUCCCUCGCGGAUGGAGCUGAAAUCAGUCGAAGAUACCAGCUGGCUGCAACUGUUUAUUAAAAACACAGCACUGUGCAAACACGAAAGUGGACGUAUACGGUGUGAC